Molecule: ribosomal RNA, 591 nt
Filed under: uncultured bacterium
Lineage: Bacteria
Description: bacterial SSU rRNA
Rfam family: Bacterial small subunit ribosomal RNA
Source: RNAcentral
ACCUGGCGGCGUGCUUACACAUGCAGUCGAACGAUGAAGCCCAGCCUUGCUGGGUGGAUUAGUGGCGAACGGGUGAGUAACACGUGAGCAACGUGCCCAUAACUCUGGGAUAACCUCCGGAAAACGGUGGCUAAUACUGGAUAUCUAACGCGAUCGCAUGGUCUGUGUUUGGAAAGAUUUUCUGGUUAUGGAUCGGCUCACGGCCUAUCAGCUUGUUGGUGAGGUAAUGGCUCACCAAGGCGACGACGGGUAGCCGGCCUGAGAGGGUGACCGGCCACACUGGGACUGAGACACGGCCCACACUCCUACGGGAGGCAGCAGUGGGGAAUAUUGCACAAUGGGCGAAAGCCUGAUGCAUCAACGCCGCGUGAGGGAUGACGGCCUUCGGGUUGUAAACCUCUUUUAGUAGGGAAGAAGCGAAAGUGACGGUACCUGCAGAAAAAGCACCGGCUAACUACGUGCCAGCAGCCGCGGUAAUACGUAGGGUGCAAGCGUAGUCCGGAAUUAUUGGGCGUAAAGAGCUCGUAGGCGGUUUGUCGCCUCUGCUGUGAAAUCCCGAGGCUCAACCUCGGGUCUGCAGUGGGUACGGGC